RNAcentral lists this ribosomal RNA (253 nucleotides) under uncultured bacterium. RNAcentral describes it as "partial 16S ribosomal RNA". It matches the Rfam family "Bacterial small subunit ribosomal RNA", at positions 524 to 776 of the family's 1533-position model. The record is from RNAcentral.
UACAGAGGUCCCAAGCGUUGUUCGGAUUCACUGGGCGUAAAGGGUGCGUAGGCGGUCGGGUAAGUCUGAUGUGAAAUCUCACAGCUUAACUGUGAAACUGCAUUGGAUACUAUCCGGCUCGAGGAAUGGAGGGGAGACUGGAAUACUUGGUGUAGCAGUGAAAUGCGUAGAUAUCGUAAGGAAGACCAGUGGCGAAGGCGAGUCCCUGGACAACUUCUGACGCUGAGGCACGAAAGCGUGGGGAGCAAACAGG